RNAcentral lists this ribosomal RNA (253 nucleotides) under uncultured bacterium. Its description in RNAcentral is "partial 16S ribosomal RNA". It matches the Rfam family "Bacterial small subunit ribosomal RNA", at positions 524 to 776 of the family's 1533-position model. The record is from RNAcentral.
UACAGAGGUCCCAAGCGUUGUUCGGAUUUACUGGGCGUAAAGGGUGCGUAGGUGGUUGGGUAAGUCUGAUGUGAAAUCUCCGGGCUCAACCCGGAAAGGUCAAGUGAUACUGUCGGGCUAGAGUACAGAAGGGGCAACUGGAAUUCUCGGUGUAGCGGUGAAAUGCGUAGAUAUCGAGAGGAACACCUGCGGCGAAGGCGGGUUGCUGGGCUGAUACUGACGCUGAUGCGCGAAAGCCAGGGGAGCGAACGGG